Molecule: non-coding RNA, 283 nt
Organism: Pantherophis guttatus
Lineage: Eukaryota; Metazoa; Chordata; Lepidosauria; Squamata; Colubridae
Source: RefSeq, a predicted model, not a curated record
GUGCUUUGUGCAAACUCAGAAAAUUCAGCAAGUGCAUGAAAUGGAGUUCAUACAUCCAACCAAUCAGUGAGAAACAGUCCUGGGGAUAGCAAAAUUCUGAGAAGUUUGGCCUGAAUUCUUCAGCCAAUUCAAGGAAGGUAGAAGAUGUCGAUUUGAACCUUCAAAGAUUUACAAGGAUUCAAAAGAUUGUUCUCUGAGGCCAGUUCUGUUGCUAUGAUAUUCUAUGACUGAUGAAAGAUCAGCUGUGAUCACUCACUGAACCAGGAUGUUAAAAUAUGACACA